Long non-coding RNA from Aegilops tauschii subsp. strangulata, 669 nucleotides. RefSeq lists it as uncharacterized. The record is from RefSeq and is a predicted model, not a curated record. Lineage: Eukaryota; Viridiplantae; Streptophyta; Magnoliopsida; Poales; Poaceae.
AAUUCCCCAACCCUAGCUUGCGUACAAGCCGCCUCCUGGACCAAUCCUCUGGUCCAUCUUCCUCCGGCUUGCCGACGGUGGCGGCGAUCCAGAUCCGGUGCCUAGCUGGGCGAGUAUGCCUAGCGGAGGUGCCGUUCCAGCUUCUGUUCGUCUCAUCGCCGGCGGUCUGGCUGCCCCGGCGGACCUCGCUCUGUCCUAAGAGAACAAGAACUGGAUGGUACUCUUCUCUGGCGACCAGAGGUCGACCUCGCCCCAUUCUUUUUUCUACCUCAACCCGCCAUUCUCCACAUGUCGCCACCCACCCCGCCGACGUCGGAGAAGAAAACUCCAAUCUGAAGGUGGAUUGAACCGAUGAAGGGUAUAUAGAGUCCAUGGAGGUUGCCAUAUAUUCCAACAGAUGAAAGCUCGAUUAUCAAGAAUCACUAAAAUAGGAGGCAAAAUGAUAGAUCUUUUUUGGCAUGUACCAUCAGGUCCUUAAUACUUGGUCUUCAUGCAAAUGUACUAAAAAUGAUAUAUGUAUGCCUCUUGCGUUGUGUUCUUAUGUACUCAAAUACUCGAAUGCUUGUUGAGUAGUGAUAACUUCAGUCCUUUAUUUUCUCAUGCACUCAGAUGCUUCUAGUUACAUGUAAAUGUACAAAGUUUAGCUUGAUCUGGGAUGGCUUAAUUUCC